UUUUCAUGUUAAUUAUAUUAACUUUUAUCAUUACUUUCUGCAUACUGCCAAGUCUCCGUUUAUGGGAGACCAUCGAAAUUUUCUCCUAAAACCAAUUUACGUUUGCGAAGUAAAAAGUGACUCGAUUAAAAACCUUAGCAAACAGUCUUAAAGGUAAAUUGGGCAAAACCCAAAAAGGUGGGACGCGAAAGGCUGAAAUGUGAGAAAUCCUGACUUGGCUACACAGCAAAGAGACCCAGGCACACGUAAGCACACAAUAAAUGUGAGUUGUUAUCACCACCACCAUAGACAUCGACAACGUCGUCGUCACCUAGAGCUGCAUAGCGGGGCCCGAAGCUGCUGCUGCCAACAUUUUCACCUGAAGAGACUGAGCGCGCGGCGCCGAGCGGCGGGGGACCCCGAAGAGUGAGCACGGAGAACUCGGGUCGGACUCCAGCCUGGGGACGCCCUCCGGGAAGUCCGCACCUCGGUCCCGGAGCGCCCUGCCCCGCCCCUCCGACCGGCCCCGCUGUCCCGCUCCAGUUCUCACCGCGUGCAGCCCCGAACCUGUCGCGGCCAGCGAGCCACUUCCGGCGGCGGAGAGAGGGCUUCCCAGGCACCAUAGAGAAACGGAAGGAAAGAGCGGUCUGCCGGAAGCGAGGCGCGGAGGCCGGAAGCGAAGCGCUGAGGCCCUGGCCGGCCGCCGGCUCCCGGCGAAAGUAGCUCCUGGGCGGCGCGGAAGCAAGCGGCUUUGAGAGCGGUGUUUGUCAGGAAGGGUCACCAACACCCUCACGCUGUCCUCCAAAACCGGGAAACUGAUGCUGCAAGGGCAGAUUCUUAGUUUUAGGCUUUUCCCUGACAAGAGGGACUUGGCUCAGACUAUCCAGCAAGUGGGUGGCCCAGUGGAGACCAGGGAGUUCCAGACAACCAGGCCUGGUCUGACUUCCUUCCUCCCCACCCCACCUCUAACCACUGGACACACUACCUUUUGUGUAAGUAAAGCUAAACUGAGGGCUUCCAUGGUGAUAACUAGGGAGUGGUGGCCUUGAGAUGAGGAAUCUUAGGGGGCAAUGUGAGAAUACAUAAAAGGUUGCUGUUUUUCAUCAGAGAAACUAAAAACUGCUUCCAGCACAGGGGAAGGGGUGGGCAGGGAAGGUGGGAAGGGCCUGGGCAGAGCUGCAAGUCCUCAGAACCCUGUCAUCCUUCAGCUUCCCCUUUGUCUGAGCUGAGCACGAACCCCCAGAGUCAUCCCACAUCCGAAAGAAAACCAAGACAGCAGGACUGUGAUCUCCUCUGUCCAUUGGCUGCCCUGAGGGAGAAGGGGAAGG
This 1307-nucleotide long non-coding RNA is filed under the name Panthera leo (lion). Its description in RNAcentral is "lncRNA (ENSPLOG00000010773.1)". Lineage: Eukaryota; Metazoa; Chordata; Mammalia; Carnivora; Felidae. The record is from RNAcentral.